AUGAACAACCACAACCACACCAAUCACAUCAUCAACCAUAACAACCAUAAUAACCACAUCAUCAACCACAUCAUCAACCAUAACAACCAUAAUAACCACAUCAUCAACCACAUCAUCAACUACAACAACCACAUCAUCAAUUACAUCAUCAACCACAACAACCACAUCAUCAACCACAAUAACCACCUCAUCAACCACAUCAUCAACCACAAUAACCACAUCAUCAACCACAAUAACCACCUCAUCAACCACAUCAUCAAUUACAUCAUCAACCACAUCAUCAACCACAAUAACCACAUCAUCAACCACAUCAUCAACCACAAUAACCACAUCAUCAACCACAAUAACCACCUCAUCAACCACAUCAUCAACCAUAACAACCAUAAUAACCACAUCAUCAACCACAUCAUCAACCACAUCAUCAAACACAUCGUCAACCACAAUAACCACAUCAUCAGCCACAAUAACCACAUCAUCAACCACAUCAUCAGCCACAAUAACCACAUCAUCAACCAUAACAACCACAUCAUCAACCACAAUAACCACAUCAUCAACCAUAACAACCAUAAUAACCACAUCAUCAACCACAAUAACCACAUCAUCAACCACAAUAACCACAUCAUCAACCACAUCAUCAACCACAUCAUCAACCACAAUAACCACAUCAUCAACCAUAACAACCACAUCAUCAACCACAAUAACCACAUCAUCAACCAUAACAACCAUAAUAACCACAUCAUCAACCACAAUAACCACAUCAUCAACCACAUCAUCAACCACAUCAUCAUCCACAAUAACCACAUCAUCAACCACAUCAUCAACCACAAUAACCACAUCAUCAACCACAUCAUCAACCACAAUAACCACAUCAUCAACCACAUCAUCAUCCACAAUAACCACAUCAUCAACCACAACAACCACAUCAUCAACCACAACAACCAUAUCAUCAACCACAAUAACCACAUCAUCAACCACAUCAUCAUCCACAAUAACCACAUCAUCAACCACAACAACCACAUCAUCAACCACAAUAACCACAUCAUCAACCACAUCAUCAUCCACAAUAACCACAUCAUCAACCACAACAACCACAUCAUCAACCACACCAACCACAAAAAACACAUCAUCAACAAUGGCAACCACAACCAAAAAGUAAUCAACCACAAAAAAGAACAACUACAACAACACCAACAACAUUAUCAACAGUAUCAUCAACCACCACACAGCAGCCACAUCACUCACUGUUUAAAUAAGGGUUUAUUUCUUCCUGUCUUCUCAGGUAGCAGACGACUCCGGAUCAGUUUCCUUUUCUGUGGAUCUUUGGAUUUCUGA
RNAcentral lists this long non-coding RNA (1332 nucleotides) under Sparus aurata (gilthead seabream). RNAcentral's name for it is "lncRNA (ENSSAUG00010002663.1)". The record is from RNAcentral. Lineage: Eukaryota; Metazoa; Chordata; Actinopteri; Spariformes; Sparidae.